Long non-coding RNA from Peromyscus californicus insignis, 582 nucleotides. RefSeq lists it as uncharacterized. NCBI's taxonomy places the organism in Eukaryota, Metazoa, Chordata, Mammalia, Rodentia, Cricetidae. The transcript is spliced from 2 exons. The record is from RefSeq and is a predicted model, not a curated record.
CAACGGGCCUAGCUGCAUCUGAACUCUGGUGUGCCUGCUAGUUUUCUAUUCCCAUUGGUACUUUUGCUGUUAAAUGCACAGGCACAUCCACAGCAGACAGACAUCCUGGAGAGAUCAGAUGUGUGGCUUCCCCAGACACCAAAGCAGAUUUUCGGAGCAGCUUCCACUCUCAGAAUUGACUGUUGGCUUGCCUGUUGCUGGUGUUCUUGCAGCAGCUGACCUAGCACGGUCACAUUUGACUUUUCUAAGUAAACAAAUGCUUCAAAGUACACAGCUUAAUAGACAACUUCCUCUGGGACAGACAGUCUCAAAAUACAUCUGCUGGUUGUUUUAGAAUACUGUUUUUAAUUUUUAAAUUUUUACUUGAAAUAGAAUUACAUCACUCCCCCAUCCACGUCCUUACUCCAGUUCCUCCAACUUAACCUUCUCUCCUACCCCCUCCAAGUUGACUGCCUCUUUUAUCUUUGAUUAUAGUUGUUAUAUAUGUAUAUAUGUGUGGGUGUAUAUAUGUAUAUAUGUGUGCGAGCGCAUGUGCUUGCUUGCUUAUAUGUAUGUACAAAUAAAAAGAACCCGAUGAGUCCA